AUACACCACAUUAACAAAUUGAAGAAUAAAAAUGGUAUAACCUGGGGACCAAGUGUGCCAUGGCUGCAAAGAGCAGCCUCCUCAUAGUUUAUGAAGCCUGCAGCUUAUAUGGGUUGCCCUAAGGGACAUAGAAGCAUUC
This 139-nucleotide small nucleolar RNA is filed under the name Catagonus wagneri (Chacoan peccary). RNAcentral describes it as "Small nucleolar RNA SNORA70 (ENSCWAG00000019127.1)". It matches the Rfam family "Small nucleolar RNA SNORA70". Rfam says of the family: snoRNA U70 seems to be exclusive to mammals and is a member of the H/ACA class of snoRNA which contain H (ANANNA) and ACA box motifs. H/ACA box snoRNAs are involved in the conversion of uridines to pseudouridines (5-ribosyluracil) a constituent of structural RNAs (transfer, ribosomal, small nuclear, and small nucleolar). Lineage: Eukaryota; Metazoa; Chordata; Mammalia; Artiodactyla; Tayassuidae. The record is from Rfam by way of RNAcentral.